This 639-nucleotide small RNA is filed under the name Histoplasma capsulatum var. duboisii H88. RNAcentral describes it as "Histoplasma capsulatum H88 hypothetical RNA". The record is from RNAcentral. Lineage: Eukaryota; Fungi; Ascomycota; Eurotiomycetes; Onygenales; Ajellomycetaceae.
UAGGGGGUAGGAGGUAGGAGGUGGAGUUUGUACAUUAUGGGUUGGGGAUUGGUUGGGUUGGCUCUUUGGAUUUGGAUGAUUUGGGGUAUUGUUAUUAUAUCUGAAUGGACGUUUGGUUUGGGUUUGGAGUAUUAUGUUAUUGUAUGAACUUGAUUUGUAUGAUAUGGUAACGCUUUUGAGACCACCCCCCCCCCUCGAACAUUGUUCUUCUGUUUUUCUCCUUCUAUUUUUUUCAACUUCAGAAUUCUCUUCAACACGCAGCAACAAAAAAAUAAAAAUUUUUAAAAAGGAGAUGAGGUUUGCAGUUUGAAAUAAAACGAUCCGGUGCAACUUUUCCACAGGUAGUCAGAAUAAUGCUAUACCGAGAUACAGCCGCUCAUAAUCCUCCAAUGAAUGAUUGAGCGCAGAAACCGUGCGAUAUAGCUACUAAACUAUACAAAAGAAUGACAAGGUAUAUAAUAUAUAUUCAUGUGUAAAGGAAAAAAAAAAAAAUAAGGAAGUAAAAGCACUUUGCAGCCAUGCAUAUUCAACUAAAACAGGAAAUAUACGUAAUAUACCUUCACAAAUAGAAACAGAGGAAAAAAGCAGCUGUAUGUGCCAUAUAUCUGUAACUAAUAUGUAAUAUAUCAUUAACAAAAC